Molecule: non-coding RNA, 69 nt
Organism: Ictidomys tridecemlineatus (thirteen-lined ground squirrel)
Lineage: Eukaryota; Metazoa; Chordata; Mammalia; Rodentia; Sciuridae
Source: Rfam
GGGAUUGUGGUUCAGCGGUAGAGCGCUCGCCUUGCACGCGCAAGGCCCUGGGUUCGAUCCUCAGCACCA